GAUAUUGCAGACAUGCUCUGAUUAGAUAUCUCAGUUCCACCUUGAGGUGAUGAAAUAUCUGGAUAUUUGCUAGAGUUUUGACUGAAGAAGGGAGCUCCUGUGUUAUUGAAGAAGAAAGGGAAACAUGUCAACGCACCAUGAAAGAAACGGGGUCUAUUCUGGGAAACUUCGGAAAAGGAAGCACAGAACCAGCAUUUUCCUCAUUGGAGCCCUGUAAAAUUGUGUCUGUCAAUGUCCUAAAGAGGUCGGACCCAGCUUGAGGUUUCACAUCCAUACAGGAGAAGAGACCAGAUGUAGCAUUUCAUCAUUCUGAUUCUGAGUUGCAAAUCUAAUUUACUCUUGCAGAAGAAGAUCUUCAUUUGAUUAAAUUUUGUUCUUGCUUGUCU
Molecule: long non-coding RNA, 386 nt
Organism: Hemicordylus capensis (graceful crag lizard)
Lineage: Eukaryota; Metazoa; Chordata; Lepidosauria; Squamata; Cordylidae
Exons: 3
Source: RefSeq, a predicted model, not a curated record